ACUACGGGAGGCAGCAGUAGGGAAUAUUGCGCAAUGGGCGAAAGCCUGACGCAGCAACGCCGCGUGAACGAGACGCCCUUCGGGGUGUGAAGUUCUGUCAGUGGGGACGAAAAAUGACGGUACCCACAGAGGAAGCACAGGCUAACACCGUGCCAGCAGCCGCGGUAAUACGGGGGGUGCAAGCGUUGUCCGGAAGCAUUGGGCGUAAAGAGUUCGUAGGCGGCAUGUAAAGUCAGGUGGUAGAGGCGCAGGCUCAACCUGUGUAUGGCACUUGAUACUUGCAAGCUGGAGUGCGGUAGAGGUAAAGGGAAUGCCUGGUGUAGCGGUGAAAUGCUUAGAGAUCAGGAGGAACAUCGGUGGCGAAAGCGCUUUACUGGGCCGUAAUUGACGCUGAGGAACGAAAGCCAGGGUAGCAAAUGGGAUUAGAUACCCGGGUAGUC
This 440-nucleotide ribosomal RNA is filed under the name uncultured bacterium. Its description in RNAcentral is "partial 16S ribosomal RNA". It matches the Rfam family "Bacterial small subunit ribosomal RNA", at positions 338 to 795 of the family's 1533-position model. The record is from RNAcentral.